CCUACGGGGGGCUGCAGUGGGGAAUAUUGGACAAUGGGGGGAACCCUGAUCCAGCCAUGCCGCGUGUGUGAAGAAGGCCCUCGGGUUGUAAAGCACUUUCAGUGAGGAAGAACGCCUGGUGGUUAAUACCCAUCAGGAAAGACAUCACUCACAGAAGAAGCACCGGCUAACUCCGUGCCAGCAGCCGCGGUAAUACGGAGGGUGCGAGCGUUAAUCGGAAUUACUGGGCGUAAAGCGCGCGUAGGUGGCUUGAUAAGCCGGUUGUGAAAGCCCCGGGCUCAACCUGGGAACGGCAUCCGGAACUGUCAAGCUAGAGUGCAGGAGAGGAAGGUAGAUUUCCCGGUGUAGCGGUGAAAUGCGUAGAGAUCGGGAGGAAUACCAGUGGCGAAGGCGGCCUUCUGGACUGACACUGACACUGAGGUGCGAAAGCGUGGGUAGCAAACAGGAUUAGAUACCCCAGUAGUC
Molecule: ribosomal RNA, 465 nt
Filed under: Vreelandella stevensii
Lineage: Bacteria; Pseudomonadati; Pseudomonadota; Gammaproteobacteria; Oceanospirillales; Halomonadaceae
Description: partial 16S ribosomal RNA
Rfam family: Bacterial small subunit ribosomal RNA
Source: RNAcentral